CCAGUAGCGUAUAUUAAAGUUGUUGCAAUUAAAAAGCUCGUAGUUGAAUUUCGGGGUCAGUAGGUUGGUCGUGCCUAUGGUAUGUACUGGCUUUACUGAUUCCUCCUUCUUGAAGAACUGUAAUGUCAUUAAUUUGGUGUUGCAGGGAAACAGGACUGUUACUUUGAAAAAAUUAGAGUGUUUAAAGCAGGCUAACGCUUGAAUACAUUAGCAUGGAAUAAUGAAAUAGGACGUUCGAUCCUAUUUUGUUGGUUUCUAGGAUUGACGUAAUGAUUAAUAGGGAUAGUUGGGGGCAUUAGUAUUCAAUUGUCAGAGGUGAAAUUCUUGGAUUUAUUGAAGACUAACUACUGCGAAAGCAUUUGCCAAGGAUGUUUUCAUUAAUCAAGAACGAAAGUUAGGGGAUCGAAGACGAUCAGAUACCGUCGUAGUCUUAACCAUAAACUAUGCCGACUAGGGAUCGGAUGAUGUUAAUUUUUUAAUGACUCAUUCGGCGCCUUACG
This 500-nucleotide ribosomal RNA is filed under the name uncultured Glomeromycotina. RNAcentral describes it as "partial small subunit ribosomal RNA". It matches the Rfam family "Eukaryotic small subunit ribosomal RNA", at positions 591 to 1092 of the family's 1831-position model. Lineage: Eukaryota; Fungi; Glomeromycota. The record is from RNAcentral.